Molecule: ribosomal RNA, 733 nt
Filed under: Achromobacter sp. 111117_136_C_D1
Lineage: Bacteria; Pseudomonadati; Pseudomonadota; Betaproteobacteria; Burkholderiales; Alcaligenaceae
Also listed under: 1 other name
Description: bacterial SSU rRNA
Rfam family: Bacterial small subunit ribosomal RNA
Source: RNAcentral
UGGCUCAGAUUGAACGCUAGCGGGAUGCCUUACACAUGCAAGUCGAACGGCAGCACGGACUUCGGUCUGGUGGCGAGUGGCGAACGGGUGAGUAAUGUAUCGGAACGUGCCUAGUAGCGGGGGAUAACUACGCGAAAGCGUAGCUAAUACCGCAUACGCCCUACGGGGGAAAGCAGGGGAUCGCAAGACCUUGCACUAUUAGAGCGGCCGAUAUCGGAUUAGCUAGUUGGUGGGGUAACGGCUCACCAAGGCGACGAUCCGUAGCUGGUUUGAGAGGACGACCAGCCACACUGGGACUGAGACACGGCCCAGACUCCUACGGGAGGCAGCAGUGGGGAAUUUUGGACAAUGGGGGAAACCCUGAUCCAGCCAUCCCGCGUGUGCGAUGAAGGCCUUCGGGUUGUAAAGCACUUUUGGCAGGAAAGAAACGUCAUGGGCUAAUACCCCGUGAAACUGACGGUACCUGCAGAAUAAGCACCGGCUAACUACGUGCCAGCAGCCGCGGUAAUACGUAGGGUGCAAGCGUUAAUCGGAAUUACUGGGCGUAAAGCGUGCGCAGGCGGUUCGGAAAGAAAGAUGUGAAAUCCCAGAGCUUAACUUUGGAACUGCAUUUUUAACUACCGAGCUAGAGUGUGUCAGAGGGAGGUGGAAUUCCGCGUGUAGCAGUGAAAUGCGUAGAUAUGCGGAGGAACACCGAUGGCGAAGGCAGCCUCCUGGGAUAACACUGACGCUC